UACGUAGGGUGCGAGCGUUGUCCGGAAUUAUUGGGCGUAAAGGGCUCGUAGGCGGUUUGUCGCGUCGGGAGUGAAAACGCCGUGCUUAACACAGCGCUUGCUUUCGAUACGGGCAGACUAGAGGUAUGCAGGGGAGAACGGAAUUCCUGGUGUAGCGGUGAAAUGCGCAGAUAUCAGGAGGAACACCGGUGGCGAAGGCGGUUCUCUGGGCAUUACCUGACGCUGAGGCGCGAAAGCUAGGGGAGCAAACGGG
This 253-nucleotide ribosomal RNA is filed under the name uncultured bacterium. RNAcentral's name for it is "partial 16S ribosomal RNA". It matches the Rfam family "Bacterial small subunit ribosomal RNA", at positions 524 to 776 of the family's 1533-position model. The record is from RNAcentral.